CUAGAUGUUCUUCACUUCCACAUGUAAAACAAGCUAGCCUAUUUUUGUAAAUUAUGUUAUUAUUAUGUUUUCUUACAUGUCCAUCUUUAUUUAGAUAAGGCUUUCUAGCCGUUGAUUUUCUUAGAUAGUACUUUUUCCUAGGUUUGUAUUCUUGGGUAUUUUGAUAUGUCUUUUUGUAUUUUCUUUUUGGUGUACUUUGAUCAUAACUUUGUGUUGUAUAUAUAUUCUUACAAAAA
This 236-nucleotide long non-coding RNA is filed under the name Solanum tuberosum (potato). RNAcentral's name for it is "long non-coding RNA (STUB_LNC008743)". Lineage: Eukaryota; Viridiplantae; Streptophyta; Magnoliopsida; Solanales; Solanaceae. The record is from RNAcentral.